AAUACUGAGCCUUCAUUCAAACUAAAAGGCUGGAAGGGAGGCAGCUGCCUUUGUUUGCCAUGGAUGGGUAGGGGCUGCACUGAGCAGCACCGGUGUUCUUCAUCCGGCUGCACCCCCAACAGAGCUCUUUCUUCCCCAGAUCCCUUUUACAGUUGGAUUCUCCCUCUUGGAUCUGGCUCUGCCUUAGUCCGACCUAGAGGGAUCAGCUUCGCCCACGCCCACUCUCACCCGGAACCUUUCAUCUCUUAUUGAAGCCUUUUAGGCCCAUUGGGAUGUUCAUUAGAACUCUGAAAACUACAGUUCUCCCCUUUAUGAGGACUGCACCACAGCUCGCCCUCUCCUGGGUUCCGGUAAGAAGAGAUUCCAAUACCACUCUUUUUUCAGAAUUCAGAAAGGCAAGAGACCACCUUACUGAGCUUCAAACUGGGGCUGGGAACGCUGCCAUGAAUUGGGCUUGGUCUGUCUGAAGGGAGCCACCUUUUCGACAAUCCUUAGACUUCUUUUGCCUGUUGGAAUUACACCUUGGAUCGUGGCGAAGUCUAUAGAGGUCAGAUUAAGAAGAACCAAAGCAGAAUAAACGUAGAACCCGAUGCUGAGUUCACGACCUGGUUGCAGAGUGAGCCCAUGGGACAGCCCUCUGAAAUUAUACUGCUUACAACCAUGCUGAGUCUGCAAGGACUUCGUCCAAGCCUUUCCGUCCAGGACCUCAAACAGAUCCAAUCACAAGAAGAGAGAUUUCAGGAAAGAGAAAAUUAUUCCUAUCAUCGGGGUUUUUGAAGAACAUGAAAUGACUGGGAAAAUAAUCAUGUUAAGUGGAAAAAAAAAAGAAAUCUAUCUGUUGUAAUUUUCAAAUAAUUUUUAAAUAAAUUUGAAAAAUUAAGAGAACUAUAUAUAUAAUACAUUCCUAAUCUUGUGAAAAAUAUAUAUGCAUUAAUAUUAUUGAAAGAAAUAUAUCAAAAGGUGAACAGCAAUUAUCACCAAUCUAGAUUAUGAGAUUAGGAGUGAUUUUUUUUCUUUGUCCUAUACUAUUUAAUAUUUUCUACCAUUAAAAUAUUCUGAUUUUCUAAUUAGAAUAGUACGUUAGACAAAGAAGGACAAAUAUCACAUGAACUCUCACUCUCUUAUGGAACAGAUCUUGUGGAAUCUAAAAAAGUUGAACUCAUAGAAAAAGAGGAAAAUGAUGGUUACCAGUUAGAAAAAAGGAAUAAGUUCAAGAGAUCUAUUGUACACCAUGGUCAAUAUAGUUAACAAUAUAUUUUAUACUUUAAAAUUGCUAAGGUAGUAGAU
RNAcentral lists this long non-coding RNA (1287 nucleotides) under Homo sapiens (human). Its description in RNAcentral is "non-protein coding lnc-PCNX1-2:11". The record is from RNAcentral. Lineage: Eukaryota; Metazoa; Chordata; Mammalia; Primates; Hominidae.